Molecule: long non-coding RNA, 2699 nt
Organism: Lutra lutra (Eurasian river otter)
Lineage: Eukaryota; Metazoa; Chordata; Mammalia; Carnivora; Mustelidae
Exons: 2
Source: RefSeq, a predicted model, not a curated record
ACAGUACACAGCCGCCGGCGUGCUCAGGCGGGCGCCGGUCUGUCGCCGGGAGGCCGCCUGGCCCCGGUGCCCAGCAGGACUGCUGUCCUGCCAUUUCCUCUGGCUCACGUGCUAGACACUGUCCUUUUCUCAAAUUAAGUAUGAAUUAAGCUUUCUGUAAGUGCUUGCCUUCUGCUAAUAACGGAGUCUGCUACUUGUUUGAAGUGGUCAUUUUCUUCUCUGUAGGGACCCAUGAGAGCUGUUUGGCUUCCCUUUGAGCACUGAAAUGCUGAUUGAGUGUCCUGGUUACUUAAAGCCAUGAGCCAUAAUCCGUAACCUGGUUUUAUUUUAAUAUUAGGAUUAAUGUGGCAGAAAACUAACUUGCUUUUAUCACUUAACCCAUUUUCAUUGCUAACUCCAGUGCUCCUAAUGUCACUGACCAGGCUGCUGUAGAUUUGUGAGAAUUACUCUAAAUUCCUUAAGGGGAAGUCCUAUUUCAGACAGAGCGGGCCUCCAGAUGAGAGCGCUUGGGGCGGCCGCUCUUCACGGCCCCCCUCGGUGCUGACCACCGUGUUCCCGCUGAGGGUCCCGUGGCUCAUCUCCGCACAGUCCUCUGCUAGAGGUUUCGGAUCCAGAACACGUGCCCGGGUUUGGAACAUGUCGCUCCUGGCCAGGCUCUGCCUCUGGGUUUCCCUCGUUUGCCCUUGUGGAGGUUCUCACCACUGCUGUUUCCCCAGUGGUCGCCGAAGAGUGCGUGGCCUCCCGGACAUUGUUUCCAGCAAAUGUCGGUCACACGGGGCAACGCUUUUGUAUGUUGAGCUGGUGUCUUUGGAAUUUUGCUUUUACCAGGGAGAGUUGAAUGCAGGAUUAGGUGCCCCAUCAAAACGUUGUAUUAUUUUUCUUUGAAGUUGCAGUAGGUGCAGUUCGAUUAGGUAAUUUUGCAGAUGUUUUGCCAAAUAGUAAUCUUGGGCUUUCUUAUACUCUUACCUUUUGAAUGUAUUUAUUUGGGGGAUUUUCUGUAGCUGGAGUGGUUUGGUGAGGAUACAACAUUUUCUACACAAUAGCAGAGGCCAAAAUUUCAGGGAGGGCGUCUUUUUGACGGUCUUUAUCUGGCGGCCGCCUUGCUUCGGUGUCUCCCAUGCCAAGACAACCAAUCAGCAUCUGCUCUUGCGUUCCCCCAGCGGGCAGUAGUCUAACACAUCAGCGACAGUGGCCAGGCCUCCUCUCCUGCGUCUGGCCACACUGUGUACUGUACUGCCCCUGUGAUUCCUGUCGCCCUGCAUGCCUCGCGUAAAGGGUCACAUCCCUUCCCUGGUCUGUAGACGCCAGGCUGCAGGCUUUGGUUCUCUUGAAUGAAGUUCUGGAGGAACUUUUUCUUGAGACAGUAUUUCUAGGUCAAUCCUGUCGUGCAAUCCCGUAAAAUAAUUUACAUUGCAGAGUUCUGUUACCGUCUUCAAGGCUGAGACUCGGGUGAGGCAGAGCUGGUUUCCGCCCAGUGUGCAGGGCUGGUAGGCGGCUUCCUGUGGGCUUCCUGUGGGGCCUACUGCCGGAAUCACGGGUGCAGAGGGCACAAGCCGUCUCUCCUCUGAGUGCAUUCUUGGCCCUCCUUCCAUUUCACAUUUUCUGUCUCGCUUUGGACAUGCUCACUUAGCACACUCACACGGGGUGUGGGCACCUUUUUACUUGACUCUUGGACACUAGAGGCUCUGCGUCUUCCCCAGAGGCCAUCGCAGGGCUUAUCGGUGGGUGGCGGUGGUCCACGGGAUGAAAAAACGUAGAUCCCAGAUCUUAGGUCAUCCCGUACAGUGUUCCGGACUUUCCUUGAGCCGCAGAAGGGGCCCUUUCUUCUCAGAGAGUCUGAGAUCAAGCAGCAGGCGACUCUGGACCUGCCUGGGGGUAGCGCCUGGGCUGCUGUGCUCACCGCCGGCCCCUGCGGCCCCUGCUCAGACCCGGCCCAGGCCAGCCUUUGCGGGAAGGCCCGGCUCGCUGGUUCUGAGGAGGUGGUGCUGAGCUCUCCCGACUUCAGGCCGGACUUCCAUUUUCAGAGCGUACUGUGCUGGUUUAAGAAGGGGCAAUACAGGCAGUGCGCACACCAGGACUUUUUUCAAGUCUGCCUGACGGAGGUGGAGGUGUCUGUAGCUGAAGGAGCCCCGUGUGGAUGUCGCCUUCAGUCUGGAUGUCUGCACUGCGCCCCAUGUCAGGCUUUGCCCCGGUGUGAGACUGAGCGAUUCAGGCCCUCAGAGUGGGAGUAAGGCGUUCCCUGUGGUGACGAGGCACGUGGUUGAGAGCAGCUGCCACCCGCAUCGUUUACCUGUACACGAUUUGGGUGCCGGGCCAUCCAGACCAACUGGGAACAAACUGGGAGUUUAGGUGCUGAGGCUAGACCCAUCUUCUGUAAUUUCGUAUUUCAACCUGGUGUUCUCUAAAGGUGGCUUCACAGUUCUCACUGGUGCAUGUUAUUCUAGAAACUUGUCACACACUUACAGUGAGAAAGUGCCACCUAGAUUGUAUCUUAUAUUGGAGUUCACUAGAUUUUAGGUUUUUAAAGAAGGAUUUCGGUGCCCUUUAAAAAGUUAACUGCUAUCGCAGGGAGAAGCCUUGUGUUGCCGUGUGGGGCAGGCGCUCCUGCGGCGGGGCGGACGGCAGUCCCGUUCUGUUGGCGUAGCCGUGUGCAGGAGCCCGUGUAUGUGAGGGAGUGUGGUUGGUCCCACCAUUCAGAA